This 459-nucleotide ribosomal RNA is filed under the name uncultured bacterium. RNAcentral describes it as "partial 16S ribosomal RNA". It matches the Rfam family "Bacterial small subunit ribosomal RNA", at positions 338 to 795 of the family's 1533-position model. The record is from RNAcentral.
CCUACGGGAGGCAGCAGUGAGGAAUAUUGGUCAAUGGGAGAGAUCCUGAACCAGCCACGCCGCGUGAGGGAAGACGGCCCUCUGGGUUGUAAACCUCUUUUGUCGGAGAACAAAACCCGGGACGUGUACCGGACUGCGUGUAUCCGAAGAAAAAGCAUCGGCUAACUCCGUGCCCGCAGCCGCGGUAAUACGGAGGUUGCGGGCGUUAUCCGGAUGUAGUGGGGUUAAAGGGUGCGUAGGCGGUCCGUUAAGUCAGCGGUAAAAUUGCGGGGCUCAACCCCGUCCAGCCGUUGAAACUGGCUGACUUGAGUGGGCGAGAAGCAGGCGGAAUGCGCGGUGUAGCGGUGAAAUGCGUAGAUAUCGCGCAGAACUCCGGUUGCGAAGGCAGCGUACCGGCGCCUGACUGACGCUGAGGCACGAAAGCGUGGGGAGCGAACAGGAUUAGAUACCCCGGUAGUC